GCCGGUGUAGCUCAGUUGGUAGAGCAGCUCAUUCGUAAUGAGAAGGUCGCGUGUUCGAUUCAUGUCUCCGGCACCA
RNAcentral lists this transfer RNA (76 nucleotides) under Comamonas sp. RNAcentral's name for it is "tRNA-Thr". It matches the Rfam family "tRNA". From Rfam's summary of the family: Transfer RNA (tRNA) molecules are approximately 80 nucleotides in length. Their secondary structure includes four short double-helical elements and three loops (D, anti-codon, and T loops). RNAcentral also lists the same sequence under 6 other names. The record is from RNAcentral. Lineage: Bacteria; Pseudomonadati; Pseudomonadota; Betaproteobacteria; Burkholderiales; Comamonadaceae.